RNAcentral lists this ribosomal RNA (588 nucleotides) under uncultured bacterium. Its description in RNAcentral is "partial 16S ribosomal RNA". It matches the Rfam family "Bacterial small subunit ribosomal RNA", at positions 355 to 1375 of the family's 1533-position model. The record is from RNAcentral.
UGGGGAAUUUUGGACAAUGGGCGAAAGCCUGAUCCAGCAAUGCCGCGUGUGUGAAGAAGGCCUUCGGGUUGUAAAGCACUUUUGUCCGGAAAGAAAUCCUUGGCUCUAAUACAGUCGGGGGAUGACGGUACCGGAAGAAUAAGCACCGGCUAACUACGUGCCAGCAGCCGCGGUAAUACGUAGGGUGCAAGCGUUAAUCGGAAUUACUGGGCGUAAAGCGUGCGCAGGCGGUUUGCUAAGACCGAUGUGAAAUCCCCGGGCUCAACCUGGGAACUGCAUUGGUGACUGGCAGGGCUAGAGUAUGGCAGAGGGGGGUAGAAUUCCACGUGUAGCAGUGAAAUGCGUAGAGAUGUGGAGGAAUACCGAUGGCGAAGGCAGCCCCCUGGGCCAAGUACUGACGCUCAUGCACGAAAGCGUGGGGAGCAAAACAGGAUUAGUACCCUGGUAGUCCCACGCCCUAAACGAUGUCAACUAGUUGUUGGGGAUUCAUUUCCUUAGUAACGUAGCUAACGCGUGAAGUUGACCGCCUGGGGAGUACGGUCGCAAGAUUAAAACUCAAAUGAAUUGACGGGGUCAUAGCUGUUUCCU